GGUCACUGACUCCAGCCGCCGACCCUUUUCCAUCUGAUCGUUUCGUUCCAUUUGACGAGAGUUUCAAUUUCUCCAGGGACUCCUCACUCAGCGUCGCUUGACUUCCUCCGUUCCUCUACUCAGCCAGAAAAAGGUUCGAAAUUGUUGGGAAAUCUAGCAUUUGAAGGAGACUCAGUAGUCGUCUUCUUCAAUUGGAAGUACAGAGCCACGAGUCAAGUAAAAUCCUAAACCUGCGAUGCUUCAUCUUCACAAACAGCGGGAUUCAGUCGAAGCAAUUCCAUAGCAAGAUUCAGUCGAAGCACGUUGAAGUUGGCAUCAAAGGCAAUUCUCCAUGUCUCCAUCACGAGCUACUUGCCUGGUGAAGACGGAUUCUUCUUUCUGGGCAAUAGGAUCUGAGGGCAUAUGAAGCAAUCGUUGAAGCAUUAAACUUGACAAGGUUUGUUUUCAUAUUCCAUUUGGUAUAUAACCUCCUCCCCUAAAAUAUUUAUUGGCAGUAUUUUGAAUUUUGAUGUUCUGAGAAGCUUUAUAUUUUUUUCUGUCACUAUUUGCUUUAUGGCAUCUCUCUUGCCACUGAUGUCCCUUUUAUUUACAGUGUUGCUACUAAGCCCAAUUUGGAGGAGUGGACUGCAAGAACAAAAGUUUAUGAUUCAUUAAAAGAAUCCGUGGGUCUCAAUAAAUUAAAUCUAUAAGAAAUGAAUUGAUAUUUGAUUUUCUGAACUGCCAAAUAUUUAAGCUCACUAAAGGAUCUCAUGAGCGGUUGGUAGUCACGAAUUAAGACAAAAUUAUGCUCAUGUACGUAUAUUGGAAAGAAGAUGAUGAACUGCUGUUCAGCUACCAUCUCCUUAUUUUUGUACUCUUGCAACUUCAUGCAUAAUGUCAUAAGUGAAACAUUUGGGUGCAUGGUCUUAGAGAUUUCCAUUUAAGCAAAACCACUGAGGAAAUAUUUUUCAUGAUAUCUUCUCUGUCAUCCCCAUGAAACGUGGCCCAUCUCUGUAGGGCUGAGUUCUGUCUUGAUUUUGAAUAUAUUUACUUCAUUAUCUGCAUUUAUCUUUCUCCUGUCAUACAAAAUUAGUUUAAUUGCCGCAAGAAAAACAAAAUCUCCUGUCUUCAUUUUGACAACCAUUAAUGAAUAAGGUGCUUGGCAUUGGUGCAUGUUUGGAAUCCUGCUAUAUGAGAUACUUACUGGAAAGGUUUGGAUCCUGAUUUUGUAUAAUUGUAGUUGUUCAUUUAAAUCUUUGAAGUUGUUUGAGAAUUUACAUCUCAUCUUUUCUGGAAUUCUUAAAAUCAACAACGUGGCACAAGAUCCUAUUUGCUUUUUGGGGCCGUUACCUAUUUUCAAAAGCUUCUAAUUAAUUUUUUGUUGUAUUGCAUUAUUUUUAUUAGGAAUGUUAAUAUAACAAAUGAAUUGGACAAUAGGUUUAUAAUGUUGUGUUUGUCAUGGAUCCCUCAAGCUCUGUUUCUUACAUCUGAACUCAACUUUGACUGCUUUUGAAUUGUGUUUGGAGUUAGUAAGGUGGUAAUAUUGCCAUGCCCUUAGGGAUAUGAUAUUCAUCCAUAUGAAGCUACAUUAUGAUGUUGAUAGGAUUGACUUGAGAUUUUAAAAUUCUCAAUUUUUAUAUUAAAGGAAACAGUCGAGGAAUGCGAAGAAGACGGGAAGGGAUGGGAAUUGGUUUUAUUGUGCGAAAAAAGCUCUCAGUCCUAAAGUCAAAGAAGAGGGAAGACGAGGUCUUUCCCCCCAUGGAAAUGAUUUGAGAACACUUGUUGAUCAAUCCCGGACAUUACGGGCAGAGGAGGUAGAAGAUGGAUCUCAACAAUUGGACCUAAUUUGCAUCUCAAUAAUAUAAUUUUAAUGCAGUAAUUCUUUUACAUAUAUAUGUAUAGCUGCUGUAUAGUUUCCUUUGGGUUUUGCAGAGGUGCUUGAGGGAGAUAUAUUUCUUCAAAACCUGCCAAGUAUUUUUACCGCCCUUGCUUUAGGUUUCUUGUGCAGGUUCAAAAUUGGUUCUGAAAAAACCAUAGCUUAAAUACAACUACCUGAUUGCAGCUUAAGCAAGGUACUGUUAUAUUAUUGAGAUGCAAAUUUUGAUCGAGAUAUAUCAUUGUCUCUGAUAAAUUAUAAUUGUGCCUUUAAUUACAAUUAGAACUUCAGUAUCCUUGAUGAUCACGUGGCUUUUACAACUGCUGUUGGUCUAAGGUAGACCCCUGCCAUUGAUUUUUUUUGCAACAAUUGGAACAAAGCCUAAUUCCAAUGUUUCAGUAAUUCUGGAAGUACUUGAUGUGCUAUAAUGAUUGGUUGUUCAAAUAGAACAAUUAAUGCAUCUUUUUAAUUGAAUAAAUGAGAUGAAGCCCUUCAUAUAUUGCUGCAAUAGUUUGAAGAAUUAUUAUUUACAUUGAAUAGUAAACAUGAAUAACUUGUACAAUUUAUUUGGGUCAUGAAUCAACACAAUAUUAAAGGAUGGAAUCUUAUGUUAUUACUUGGGGAUAUAAUUAGUUUCUUCACUUUUUCAGUGCUAACAAAGGAGACUCCUUGAGGGUGUCUUAUGAUUUUUGGGUCUUAGGAUACUAUUUUGUUUUGUUCUAGAGUGCUAAUAAAAUGGACUUGAGCAUCUGAGGAAGUUUGUUGUAUCUCUUACCUAGCAUUUUUAUUGUCAUUUAUACUGAAUGAUAA
Prosopis cineraria is the source of this 2665-nucleotide long non-coding RNA. RefSeq lists it as uncharacterized. The transcript has 6 exons. The record is from RefSeq and is a predicted model, not a curated record. Lineage: Eukaryota; Viridiplantae; Streptophyta; Magnoliopsida; Fabales; Fabaceae.